Molecule: ribosomal RNA, 253 nt
Filed under: uncultured bacterium
Lineage: Bacteria
Description: partial 16S ribosomal RNA
Rfam family: Bacterial small subunit ribosomal RNA
Source: RNAcentral
UACAGAGGUCCCGAGCGUUGUUCGGAUUCACUGGGCGUAAAGGGUGCGUAGGUGGCGAUGAAAGUUCGAUGUGAAAUCUCCGGGCUUAACCCGGAAAAGGCAUUGAAAACUAUGUUGCUUGAGGUUUGGAGGGGGGACUGGAAUUCUUGGUGUAGCAGUGAAAUGCGUAGAUAUCAAGAGGAACACCAGUGGCGAAGGCGGGUCCCUGGACAACACCUGACGCUGAGACGCGAAAGCGUGGGGAGCGAACGGG